ACACGUCUACAUUAGAUACCCGGGUAGUCCCAGCCGUAAACUAUGCGCGUUAGGUGUAUCGGUGACCACGAGUUACCGAGGUGCCGAAGGGAAACCGUGAAACGUGCCGCCUGGGAAGUACGGUCGCAAGGCUGAACUUAAAGGAAUUGGCGGGGAGCACCACAACGGGUGGAGCCUGCGGUUUAAUUAGACUCAACGCCGGGAAGCUCACCGGAUAAGACAGCGGAAUGAUUGCCGGGCUGAAGACUCUGCAUGACUAGCUG
RNAcentral lists this ribosomal RNA (263 nucleotides) under uncultured archaeon. RNAcentral describes it as "partial 16S ribosomal RNA". It matches the Rfam family "Archaeal small subunit ribosomal RNA", at positions 717 to 982 of the family's 1478-position model. The record is from RNAcentral.